GACGAACGCUGGCGGCGUGCUUAACACAUGCAAGUCGAACGGUGAAGGGACCGGUUUUUGCUGGUUCUGGAUGAGUGGCGAACGGGUGAGUAACACGUGAGUAACCUGCCCCCUUCUUCUGGAUAACCGCAUGAAAGUGUGGCUAAUACGGGAUAUUCUGCGCCUGCUGCAUGGUGGGUGUGGGAAAGAUAUUGUUUCGGUGGGGGAUGGGCUCGCGGCCUAUCAGCUUGUUGGUGGGGUGAUGGCCUACCAAGGCGGUGACGGGUAGCCGGCCUGAGAGGUUGGACGGUCACACUGGGACUGAGACACGGCCCAGACUCCUACGGGAGGCAGCAGUGGGGAAUAUUGCACAAUGGGCGCAAGCCUGAUGCAGCGACGCCGCGUGAGGGAUGGAGGCCUUCGGGUUGUAAACCUCUUUCGCCAGUGAAGCAGGCCUGUCCCUUUUGUGGGUGGGUUGACGGUAGCUGGAUAAGAAGCGCCGGCUAACUACGUG
RNAcentral lists this ribosomal RNA (493 nucleotides) under uncultured bacterium. RNAcentral's name for it is "partial 16S ribosomal RNA". It matches the Rfam family "Bacterial small subunit ribosomal RNA", at positions 28 to 507 of the family's 1533-position model. The record is from RNAcentral.